AUGGACACGGGGCCCAACCGAGCCCCGCUCCUUCAUCCCUGGGGGCCCAUGGAUGCUCGCCCAGGAGCGGGUGGGACACACGGGCCCCUGGGACUCCCUGCCUGGCUCCUCCUGCUUCUGCCCUGCUGGGCCCUGGCUCUUCUCUGUGCAGGUGCCAUGGCCCUGCAGCUCCCCACCAUCACCAUCCUGCGGAUGCCAGCAGAGGCCCCCCGUCCAGGCGAGAGCGUGACGGUGUCAUGCGAGGCGACAAGUGGGCUCCCAGAGCUGACGCUGCUCUACUGGCUGGGGAACAGCUCCUUUGUGGAGAGCCUGUACCCAGACGGGGCUGUGCACGAGGGGACAGUGCAUGGCUGCUUCUGCUUACUGUGACCUGUAGAUGUGUCCAUGUGGGAGGAAGAAACCCCAAGGUGUCUGUGGCCAUGGAUAUGUCUGUGCUGCAGCAGGAGCAUCUCUGAAGGGAACGUGGCCCAAGGACAAGACCCUGCUGGAGAAGGUACAUCUUGAAACAUCCGUGGCUGUGCAGGAAGUCAUGCUGGAGCACCCUGAAGUGUGUGACCAUGGAUAAACCCACAGCAGAGCAGGUACACCCCUGGAAGGACUGCAGCCAUGGAGAAGGCCACACUGGAGCAGAAGAACCUGAGGCUCCCACGGAAUCGCUCUGGUUAGACGGCAGCUCGGGAGAUCUUCAGUCCAGCCCCCUGCUGCAAGCAGGACCACCUCUGGGAUCAGAGGAGGCAGCUCAGCAUUUUCUACAGCUGGGUCCUAAAAUCUCUCAAGGAUGGAGCCUGCACACCUUCAUUAGGCAGUCUGCUCCACUGCCUGCCUGAUAUCACGGGGCAACUUUUUUCCACGUAUUAACCUCAUCUUCCCUUGUCCAGGCUGUGUGCCCGGUUCCCCCACACUUUUCUCACAGUCACAUGUACCCCUGCCCAUUUUGGUGGCUCUCCACCGGACCAUUUCAGUUGAUCUGUAUUUUCCCAGGGAAGGGCCUGUCAUCCAGCACAUGCUGGAUAUGUGGACACCCGCAGUUUCCCCAAAUUGGGGAGCUUGACUUCAUCUUUUGUGAUGAUAGCAAACUGCUCACGUGUCCAGAAAUUCAAGCACGCAGCAGUAACCGGGGUUUGUUGGGAAGAAACCAUGAGAUUAAUAAAUCCUUGGGCUUUCUAACAGAGCAAAUUAAAAUCUCAGUUACUUUUGCCACUGUAGUGUUCUGAAUCAUCAUGGCUAGGCUUCGCGAAUGAAAAUUUGGGAGAGGC
Lepidothrix coronata (blue-crowned manakin) is the source of this 1256-nucleotide RNA transcript. It is a transcript of the gene named interleukin 18 binding protein, with no coding region annotated. NCBI's taxonomy places the organism in Eukaryota, Metazoa, Chordata, Aves, Passeriformes, Pipridae. The record is from RefSeq and is a predicted model, not a curated record. The transcript is spliced from 6 exons.